UGAGAAGCAGAACCCAUUUGCCCUGUGUCGU
Molecule: non-coding RNA, 31 nt
Filed under: Homo sapiens (human)
Lineage: Eukaryota; Metazoa; Chordata; Mammalia; Primates; Hominidae
Source: RNAcentral